RNAcentral lists this ribosomal RNA (253 nucleotides) under uncultured bacterium. Its description in RNAcentral is "partial 16S ribosomal RNA". It matches the Rfam family "Bacterial small subunit ribosomal RNA", at positions 524 to 776 of the family's 1533-position model. The record is from RNAcentral.
UACGUAGGCAGCAAGCGUUGUUCGGAGUUACUGGGCGUAAAGGGUGCGUAGGCGGCUUUUUAAGUUUGGUGUGAAAUCUCCCGGCUCAACUGGGAGGGUGCGCCGAAUACUGAGAGGCUAGAGUGCGGGAGAGGAAAGUGGAAUUCCUGGUGUAGCGGUGAAAUGCGUAGAUAUCAGGAGGAACACCGGUGGUGUAAACGGCUUUCUGGACCGUAACUGACGCUGAUGCACGAGAGCGUGGGUAGCAAACAGG